RNAcentral lists this long non-coding RNA (2396 nucleotides) under Nicotiana benthamiana. RNAcentral's name for it is "long non-coding RNA (NBEN_LNC017477)". Lineage: Eukaryota; Viridiplantae; Streptophyta; Magnoliopsida; Solanales; Solanaceae. The record is from RNAcentral.
AUCGCUUACACACAGGAUACUAUUAGAAUUAGAAUAGUGCAGUGCGGAAGAGCCAGCCCUCAGGCAUCCAAGUUAAGAGGGAACUCAGGGGGUCCUAAUGCAUGGCUUGUAAGAGAGGGGCAGAACUUUUAACUAAGAGUAAUUGCAAAGUGAAAAGGGAUUUAGGGAGACAUACAAAUUGUGGUCAUGCCUAGCCACAAGUGUAGACUGGUACACCCCUGAUCACUUGUUUGGUUAAACAAGUUAGGAGCAGACCGUUGAAGGUCAACCUAAGUCUGGAUAGUGAUUAGGAAACCAUCAGACCCAAGUCCAAUGCUCAAACACAUAAAGGGGAAAGGGGAGUGGGAACUGAUUGAGUUAGGGGUCAAAGAACCUGUUCAGAGUCAUAGACAACAAUGUUAAAGUGCUGGUAUGUCUUGAACCAUACUCAUAUACAAAGAGGAAAAAGGAAAUGGAGUUUACAUAAGAGAAGUAGUAACAAAGUUGCAGGAACACAUAUCAAAACUUAGGGUGUAAACACAUAGCGGAGGAGCAUUUUUUAAACUAAGGAGAACAUACCAGUUCCAAAGUGAGAAUAAGAGCAAGCAAACAGCAGGAACAAACUCAAAUUCUCAGCAGGACACUUGAAGGAUUGAAGAGAACUCAAAGGUGUUUCAGAAAGCAAAGAGUAGAAGUAUUUAGAAGAAGAGAGUAGAAAACAGAGUGGUUAAUACUGCUGUGUGUGUAAGAAUGCAACUCGAGAGUCUUAGUCUAAUUGUGUGUCUCAAGUGCAGAAAAGUGUGUGUGCAAGUGCAGAAAGGUAGCCCCCCUUGUAUAGUGUAGAAAACAAGUAGGAAGAGGUAAGAAAUUACUUUUAAAAUCAGUCUCAAUGAUUUUCCUUUAGUCAAAGGAUUUGAUUUCAAAUGGGCAUGAGGUAAUUAUGGAAAGAAAAUAACUAAAACCCUUUUCCAAAGUAACAUAAUAGGGGAAAAUACACAGAGAUAUUAUUUAAGGAAAGAGUCAAGUAGUACAUGGUUUGAUCAUACUAAGGAAAGACAAUCAACUAACUACCAGUAAAAAUCAAAGUGUCAGGCUCCGUUUGAAUGGACAAGGUCAGGAAAAGGGAAACUAGAGAAAUCGAAAACAAUUAGUCAGGAAUCAUUAAAAGAAAUUUGAAAUCAACUAAUUAGUUGGAAAAGACUUUUUGAAGGGAGAAUUUAUCAUAUAUAAAUCAUACAGACAUGUGAGACAAGAGGGAGACUAGUGUAGAAAAAUUCAGGGUCAUAACAAAGAGGUCGAAUUCAGUUUAUAGACUUAAAGUGAGUUUGAUGGAGUCAAGAGUUCUGACUAGAACCCUAGUCCAAAACAAAGUCAAGCCUGCCAAAAAUCGCAAAUACUAGGGUUUAUGACUUGAAUCAGAUGAAUAGACGAGAAGACUAUAACUAGAACAGGCUCAGUAGUCUUUUCAAAGACUUAUGAGAAAACAAACAAAUAGCAUAGCAGGCUCAAGGCAAAUGUAAUGUAGAAACCAAUUUGAAGCACAUGGAACACGUUUUAACAAAAACUUGUCACUCAAACAAGUUCAGAAGAGAAAAAGCGAUACAAGCUUGGGAAAAUAGUAGAUGAAACAUGUCUAGAAAGAACUCAAACAAAGCCUAGAAGAAGGUGAGUAAAGAGCUAAAGCUUAGUAGAAAAGUCAGUAAAGGAACACGGGGUAAAUGAACAUGUGAAAGCAUGAUAUAGAAUUAGUCAAAUAAAGAACGAAGCAUAGUAAUGCAGGCAUAAGAACAUCACAUAGGCUGAUACACUCAAAGAAAAGAAGAAGAACAAGAAUCAUGCUUAGUUGAAAGAAAAACAGGAGAUCAAAUACAUGCGUAGUAGAGAAGAAAACAUAUGAGAUAAACACAGACAAACACAUAUAAAGAAAAGAGUGGAAAGAAUCAAAAGGUUUUUCAGAAACCCUAGUUUAAAAAUCAAACGAUUUUAUAAAGGAAAAUUGGGGAAAAAGCUUAAAACGUCGAAUAUAGCACAGAUACAGCAUAAAUCUAAGAAAACAACCAGAGAAAAAUCUUGAAUAACUUUAGGUUUUCAGAGAAACCCUAGAAAUGAUAAGGCUUGGAAGAAAGUGUGGUCUCGAGUCGGAGAUGGCCAGAGAUAGGAUCCUAAAGCUUGAACACGCCGGAGCAAGGCCGAAGAGGCCAUAGAACCACAGAUCUGUAGAGAAUCAAAAUGGACACCAUCGAGGUCAGACCUCGAAAUCUCGAACACCCAGGGUUUAUGGGUGAAGAGAGGUGAGUACAGGCCGUCCGUGGCCGGAGACGCGAUGGAUUCCGAUGAGAUUAUGGUCGGAGAAGGGUGAGAGGGGCUAAGGUUUCAGGACCUUUCGAGUGAGUUUGAGAGAGGGAGAGAUUUUAGAG